UGCCAGCAGCCGCGGUAAUACGGAGGGUCCGAGCGUUAAUCGGAAUUACUGGGCGUAAAGCGUGCGUAGGCGGAUUGUUAAGUCAGAUGUGAAAUCCCGGGGCUCAACCUCGGAACUGCAUUUGAAACUGGCAAUCUAGAGUACUGUAGAGGGUGGUGGAAUUUCCAGUGUAGCGGUGAAAUGCGUAGAGAUUGGAAGGAACAUCAGUGGCGAAGGCGGCCACCUGGACAGAUACUGACGCUGAGGCACGAAAGCGUGGGGAGCAAACAGGAUUAGAUA
This 279-nucleotide ribosomal RNA is filed under the name uncultured bacterium. RNAcentral describes it as "partial 16S ribosomal RNA". It matches the Rfam family "Bacterial small subunit ribosomal RNA", at positions 506 to 784 of the family's 1533-position model. The record is from RNAcentral.